Sinocyclocheilus grahami is the source of this 258-nucleotide long non-coding RNA. RefSeq lists it as uncharacterized. Lineage: Eukaryota; Metazoa; Chordata; Actinopteri; Cypriniformes; Cyprinidae. The transcript is spliced from 3 exons. The record is from RefSeq and is a predicted model, not a curated record.
CAGAAACAAAGGACCAAAAUCUGUUUAGACAGUAUGAUGCUGGGAGAACUAGAUAUCAUGAUGGUAGUGCUGUCUGUCCUUCAGCUCUGUGUGACCAUCAGUUUCUGUGUUUUGACUGGAAAAGUUUUGUGCAAGAAGGAUGAAGAUGCGAAGUCGGUGGAGGAUCCAGAACUUCACAAGCCGCUCCUGGAAGACUCCACUGCUGGUGCUGCGUGACAAGAUGAACAAAAAUAAUCAAAGUCAUUUGUUUUGCUUGGC